This 253-nucleotide ribosomal RNA is filed under the name uncultured bacterium. RNAcentral's name for it is "partial 16S ribosomal RNA". It matches the Rfam family "Bacterial small subunit ribosomal RNA", at positions 524 to 776 of the family's 1533-position model. The record is from RNAcentral.
CACGUAGGGCGCAAGCGUUGUCCGGAAUUAUUGGGCGUAAAGAGCUCGUAGGCGGUCUGUUACGUCUGCUGUGAAAACCCUGGGCUUAACCCCUGGCUUGCAGUGGAUACGGACAGACUAGAGGUAGGUAGGGGAGAAUGGAAUUCCCGGUGUAGCGGUGAAAUGCGCAGAUAUCGGGAGGAACACCGGUGGCGAAGGCGGUUCUCUGGGCCUUACCUGACGCUGAGGAGCGAAAGCGUGGGGAGCGAACAGG